RNAcentral lists this ribosomal RNA (492 nucleotides) under uncultured bacterium. RNAcentral describes it as "partial 16S ribosomal RNA". It matches the Rfam family "Bacterial small subunit ribosomal RNA", at positions 29 to 507 of the family's 1533-position model. The record is from RNAcentral.
AGUGAACGCUGGCGGUAGGCCUAACACAUGCAAGUCGAACGGCAGCACAGUAAGAGCUUGCUCUUACGGGUGGCGAGUGGCGGACGGGUGAGGAAUGCAUCGGAAUCUACUUUUUCGUGGGGGAUAACGUAGGGAAACUUACGCUAAUACCGCAUACGACCUACGGGUGAAAGUAGGGGAUCUUCGGACCUUGCGCGAUUGAAUGAGCCGAUGUCGGAUUAGCUAGUUGGCGGGGUAAAGGCCCACCAAGGCGACGAUCCGUAGCUGGUCUGAGAGGAUGAUCAGCCACACUGGAACUGAGACACGGUCCAGACUCCUACGGGAGGCAGCAGUGGGGAAUAUUGGACAAUGGGCGCAAGCCUGAUCCAGCCAUACCGCGUGGGUGAAGAAGGCCUUCGGGUUGUAAAGCCCUUUUGUUGGGAAAGAAAAGCGGCAGGUUAAUACCCCGCUGUUCUGACGGUACCCAAAGAAUAAGCACCGGCUAACUUCGUG